AGAGUUUGAUCAUGGCUCAGGAUGAACGCUAGCGGCAGGCUUAACACAUGCAAGUCGAGGGGCAGCAUACCCAGCAAUGGGUGAUGGCGACCGGCGGAAGGGUGCGUAACGCGUGAGCAACAUACCCUAUACAGGGGGAUAAGCCAGGGAAACUUGGUCUAAUAUCCCAUAGCAUUUAUUAAUGGCAUCAUUGAUAAAUUAAAGCUUCGGUGGUAUAGGAUUGGCUCGCGUGACAUUAGCUAGAUGGAGGGGUAACGGCCCACCAUGGCAAUGAUGUCUAGGGGUUCUGAGAGGAAGAUCCCCCACACUGGGACUGAGACACGGCCCAGACUCCUACGGGAGGCAGCAGUGAGGAAUAUUGGACAAUGGAUGGAAAUCUGAUCCAGCCAUGCCGCGUGCAGGAAGACGGCCCUAUGGGUUGUAAACUGCUUUUAUACGGGAGCAAUAAGGUCUAUGAAUAGAUUGAUGAGAGUACCGUAUGAAUAAGCAUCGGCUAACUCCGUGCCAGCAGCCGCGGUAAUACGGAGGAUGCGAGCGUUAUCCGGAUUUAUUGGGUUUAAAGGGUGCGUAGGCGGCUUUGUAAGUCAGCGGUGAAAU
RNAcentral lists this ribosomal RNA (597 nucleotides) under uncultured bacterium. RNAcentral describes it as "bacterial SSU rRNA". It matches the Rfam family "Bacterial small subunit ribosomal RNA", at positions 8 to 600 of the family's 1533-position model. The record is from RNAcentral.